UGGCUCCUUCAGGCUCUUGGGGCAAGAGGGCAGGGCAUCCCUGAGUCCCUUCCCAGAGCACGUUUGAUGCAGAGUUGGCACCAGGUGAGAAACCCCUGAAUGGCUUACGAGUGGUGGAUGGAUGUAGCUGGUCAGGUAGCAUGAGCUCAGGACCCAGCUGCAGUCGUGGGGUUGACACAAGAUGACUGGCAUAGUGAGAUGAAGAAAGUUGACAACUACCAUUUGCCGAGGUGCAGUCUUGGGUGUGCUGUGUCAAUUAGAAAAUUUCCCCCCACCCCACGCCCCACCCCCAGAGACAGAUGAAGAGUAUCUGGCUUAUUAUCUUUGUUUAGAGAGAAGCAAGCUGGCAGAGGUAUGGUUAACCUGCUGCAGAUGCCAGUGGAGACUUGGUCUUUGCGGGAGCCAUCCCGCAACCCACGGAGCCCAUUCCACAGAGGCUUUCUGUCUGUAUCUCCAUGUGUCUGGCUGGACUGAGGCUUCUCCGGGACAGAUUCUGUGGCUGGCUGACCCUGUCUGGCCAGCACCAAGCCCCCUGGGUGGAGAAGCAUGUGUCUCCCCCUGGGCGGAGGGCCCGUGUGAGAGAAGUGGCUUGCCAUCUCCUGCACACGAGAUCUUCUGGGGCAAAGAGGAAGCUGUGUUCAGUACUGCGUGUUUGAGUGUAUGCUACAAGCAAAACAUCAGCGGGCCUGGAGAGAGCUCAUCACUUCCACUACGCGUGUUGCCCGUCCAGGUGACUAUUAGGAUGCGCCAGGAUGAAGCCUUUCACACCGAGGAAGACUCAAAAAUCAUCUCAAAAAUUGCCCCGUUAACCAUGUCAGCAGUACCUUGAAAUAAAACAGAGAGGAAAAACUACA
This 854-nucleotide long non-coding RNA is filed under the name Vulpes vulpes (red fox). RNAcentral's name for it is "lncRNA (ENSVVUG00000027464.1)". The record is from RNAcentral. Lineage: Eukaryota; Metazoa; Chordata; Mammalia; Carnivora; Canidae.